GUUUGUGAUCCUCUUGCUUCUGUUUCCUAGAGUGUUGGGAACAAAUCACACUUUCAAUGAGUAACAUAUUAAGAGUCCAGAAGUAUGUUGUCCUCUGUCCCUAUGGUAAUCUUUCACUAUCUCAGUAUUAAUCUGUGUACACUGGGGAAAAACUGGUGAACAAAAUUGAACUUACAACAUCCUAUUGGAGACAAUACAGAGGCACCAAACAGCCAGUUGACAUAAUUCAAGUCCUUGCUAUGAUCAGACCAGUCCUGUGUUUCUGUCCCGAAGCCAUACUCUCAGUGAGAAUGUUCCAGCAAGCUACUCAGCAUGCGAAGAAGAAUGCCGUUGGAACCAUUUGAUUUUUGGAAUGCUAUCAAUUUUAAUGCGAGUGGGCAAAGAGAACAAAAGAAAUGUAAUCAUACCUUGAACAAGAUCUUUGAUCACUUAAUUGAUGAAUUAAAGACUCAAAGGCCAUGCACCAGG
RNAcentral lists this long non-coding RNA (468 nucleotides) under Fukomys damarensis (Damara mole-rat). RNAcentral's name for it is "lncRNA (ENSFDAG00000027414.1)". The record is from RNAcentral. Lineage: Eukaryota; Metazoa; Chordata; Mammalia; Rodentia; Bathyergidae.